Molecule: transfer RNA, 77 nt
Filed under: Caulobacter sp.
Lineage: Bacteria; Pseudomonadati; Pseudomonadota; Alphaproteobacteria; Caulobacterales; Caulobacteraceae
Description: tRNA-Arg
Rfam family: tRNA
About the family: Transfer RNA (tRNA) molecules are approximately 80 nucleotides in length. Their secondary structure includes four short double-helical elements and three loops (D, anti-codon, and T loops).
Source: RNAcentral
GGCCCGGUAGCUCAGCAGGAUAGAGCAGCGCUUUCCUAAAGCGGAGGUCAGGGGUUCGAAUCCCUUCCGGGCCGCCA